ACUUACCGAGCCGGAACAGAAAGGAAUUGGGUGUCGAGGACACCGAUGAACUUUUGGCUCUGUGGUGGUGAUGUUGUGUUUGCAAUUUGUCCGGUAUCCCGGAUAUGGUCAUUAUUUACUGUUUUCACUUCUGUACAUUAACCCUGUCUGUCCAUAGUGAUUUAUGUAGCACCGCCACUUUAGCGGUGCUUUUUUUU
RNAcentral lists this non-coding RNA (197 nucleotides) under Serratia sp. DD3. RNAcentral's name for it is "GcvB RNA". It matches the Rfam family "GcvB RNA". Rfam says of the family: The gcvB gene encodes a small untranslated RNA involved in expression of the dipeptide and oligopeptide transport systems in Escherichia coli. Lineage: Bacteria; Pseudomonadati; Pseudomonadota; Gammaproteobacteria; Enterobacterales; Yersiniaceae. The record is from Rfam by way of RNAcentral.